AGGAUAAUAGUUAUUAUAACAAUUAAUUUGCAUUUAAAAAAUAUUGAUAUUCAUCAAUUUAUCUUU
RNAcentral lists this transfer RNA (66 nucleotides) under Lypnea pubipennis. Its description in RNAcentral is "tRNA-Ala". The record is from RNAcentral. Lineage: Eukaryota; Metazoa; Arthropoda; Insecta; Coleoptera; Chrysomelidae.